RNAcentral lists this ribosomal RNA (500 nucleotides) under uncultured bacterium. RNAcentral's name for it is "bacterial SSU rRNA". It matches the Rfam family "Bacterial small subunit ribosomal RNA", at positions 28 to 507 of the family's 1533-position model. The record is from RNAcentral.
GACGAACGCUGGCGGCGUGCCUAAUACAUGCAAGUCGAGCGGAAUGAAGAAGAAGCUUGCUUCUUCUGAUUUUAGCGGCGGACGGGUGAGUAACACGUGGGCAACCUACCUUGUAGAUUGGGAUAACUCCGGGAAACCGGGGCUAAUACCGAAUAAUCCAUUUUGCUUCAUGGCGAGAUGUUAAAAGGCGGCUUCGGCUGUCACUACGAGAUGGGCCCGCGGCGCAUUAGCUAGUUGGUAGGGUAAUGGCCUACCAAGGCGACGAUGCGUAGCCGACCUGAGAGGGUGAUCGGCCACACUGGGACUGAGACACGGCCCAGACUCCUACGGGAGGCAGCAGUAGGGAAUCUUCCACAAUGGACGAAAGUCUGAUGGAGCAACGCCGCGUGAGUGAAGAGGGUUUUCGGAUCGUAAAACUCUGUUGUAAGGGAAGAACACGUACGAGAGUAACUGCUCGUACCUUGACGGUACCUUAUUAGAAAGCCACGGCUAACUACGUG